Scylla paramamosain (green mud crab) is the source of this 3870-nucleotide long non-coding RNA. RefSeq lists it as uncharacterized. NCBI's taxonomy places the organism in Eukaryota, Metazoa, Arthropoda, Malacostraca, Decapoda, Portunidae. The record is from RefSeq and is a predicted model, not a curated record. The transcript is spliced from 10 exons.
AGUGAGGCACGCCUCUUCCUGCGGCACUUACAGAGAGCCUGACUGCUGAACGAGUGGCCAGUGGCGGUGCGUGUGUGUGUUUGUGCAAGAGGAGUACUCACCUGGAGACGCAACACUCCCUUCCUGACGCGGCAACACACGCACAGAUUUGCAUCAACCAGCAGCAGCAGCAGCAGCAGCAUGUCAGUAGUAGCAGGAGUAGUGAAUGGUCACUCGUAUGUGGUGACUACUUGGACUAUCAGGCCGCCCUUGUAGUGUGCUGGACUAUUGGUCAACAAGGAGCCCUGAAAGUUACGUGGUACAACUAUCUCGGCGAUAGUAAAGGCUGCGUGGAAGCGUCUUUGUGAUGGCUGUCAGGCAGACCUGAGCCAGUUCUGCCGCUCUACACUCCGUGGAUCGUUCAUCCUACUACUGUUUUAUGUCAUGUGACUACGUCUCUUGAACGCUUGGAUUUGGUGGAGCAAGGUGGCCAGGGUGUGGGGCCAGUGCAAGUGAUCUCAGGACUGCUUUGGGCUCCAUAGGACCAGUGAUCUCCGUGAAAACUCGAUAGCGGCCAAUACCUGCCGGGGAAUCAUCCCCUUGUUGCGCCGCCGCCCGUGACGUCACCACGAAAAGAUACACAGUGCGACAGACAAUACUCGUCUAACCUGGAAUGAGGCGGAGGGUGCGGCGAAGUGGUCAGCUGUGGCUGUGGCCGCCUUCAGCCCACCCGCCUGACUGCUCCUCUUUGUCACCGAGUCAUGGGAAAGUCGAGGUUUUAUAUAUAGUAAACGCCUCGCACCUGCGCCUCCUAAAUGCUUAAUCCUUUCACUGUCGGAUCAUUUUUCUUUUUAUCAUCUGCUACUUUAUAGGCGCUCAUUUGUGUACAGUGACUCCUCCCCUACAGUUCUUUAUUUACUUUAUUCUUUUUAGUAAUAGCUGCUGAUUGCAUAGAGCUCGGAAACUGUUAGUAGAAGUGAAUAGAUUGACAGUGAACACGUAACACACAGUGUGUGUGUGUGUGUGUGUGUGUGUGUGUAAAGACGGCACCCUAAUUAAUGAAGCAGAUUCCCUGCCUGUAUUUCUAACAAAAGUGCCAAAAGAAAUGUUUCACGAUACACCGUAUCUUGAAACAUUUCUGCCCGCACCCUGACUACUUUCAAGAGGCUGUAGUUGAAAUUACACGAGUUUUAAGAGUGUUUCUGUGGUUCUAGUUACAGACUGGUAAGGUCUCUACAGCAUCAACGGGAGAACCAGUCUUGAAAACCCGGGUAAUUAUUUCUGUGGCCUUUGAAAAUAGUCUGGUGAAAGAGCAAGGCCUUUCAGAAUACAAGCACAUAACCUUGCUUCAUGAAAAACAAGUGCAUUCAUGAUACCUAAGACUGCCUUGCUACAUUCCCCCAGUGACUAAUGUAUCUUUUUUUUUUUCUUUAUCUCGUAGCAUUAGUCUGUCUGUCAUUGAUGAAAACACCCGCACUACAUGUAUUACGUUAUUUCAUUAGUCUCAAGUCGCUAUUUCAAGUCUAUAUAAGCCUCAAUAAAUACGAGAGCUGUGGUGGUGGUCUGCUUCCCGUCUGUCAAUCAGAGCGUUCUAUUUUUCCGUUUUCUUUCGUAUUCUUCGUAAAGCUCACGCAUCCUUCAUUUGUCGUUACUUCUUGCCUCACAGAGUAUUGGUAAGUGUCUUCUACUGGUAAUAAUAACCGUGAUUCUAUUAUUUUGUAUCAUUACAAGUAGUAUUGCGAGAGUGGCUCCGUUCUUAGUGACAAUUACCUCAGCACAGCCUUCACCAAUCAGCGCCAAGUAUUCAAGUCACGUGAUACUCUCUCCUCGCCGUCUCUUCAGCCAUUCGCCCUGCGCCCGCUGACGUGACGAGUCCCUGGUUGUGUUACGGCGGUGAAGCGGUGUUGCAUCUGUCCCUGGCGGCCAUGUUGUGGUGGACUGCGGUGUAGAGGGAGAGGUGGAUGCCUUCUCUCCCCUUCCCUUCCUCCCCGCUCCCUUCCUAACCUGCCCGCCACCCUCUCCCCGCUUUUUCCUGCCUGUCCUCCCCUGCUCCUCGUGUCCCAGGUGACCCAUGAACUACCUCUAACAAUGGUGAUGAAGAACCAGAAGUGGGUUGUAGGUGACGAGAUAACUAUCCCAGGUCAUCCCGGAAGUGGCGAGGUGACCCCAUACAGCUCCACAAGGUCGUGGAGGACACCAGACAUAGCCACGUGGUCGCCUACACUCAGCCAUCCACCUCACCUGCCCCAGACUGCUACCCGGACACCAUCCAGCCACAAGAACCCAGAUAAGCACUUCCGGGGUCCUUGGUUGUGGUUAGCUAGCUAGUUUGUUUAGGGGUCACUUGCUGUACAUAGGAACCCUCCUCGGUCUGAUGCUAUUUUUUUUAUUUUUAUUUUUGAGGUGUAACGCUGUGCUCUACGUGAGAGUGAUAGUGUUUAUCUUUAUUUAUUUAUUUUUUUUCCUGAAGACCAGUUCUGAGGUUAUCUUGGAGGUUAACGGAGAAGAGUUCUUCACAACUGUGUUUGUUGUUUUAUUUUAUUUUUUUAUUGGUCACUUUUUGUUUUUUGUUGUGAUUGUUAUUAAUUUUAUUUAUUUGUAUUGAAAUAUGUGAGUGUGAAUGCAGCACAAUAUAUAAAGGUGUGCAUUCCAGAGUGAAAGGAAGGCGUGCACAGGGUAGAGUGGACAGGAUGCAGUGCCUUGUUUUUAUCACCAGACCUUGAUUGAUUGAAGCAAAUGAAAACUUUGGUAUAAAUUGUUAUCUUUCCAAGGGUUGAGGAGAACAUGGUCGUGGUUCAAGUGAAGCCACUACAGCCACUCCCUGACAAGCCUUCCACACCGACAGACAGUGGCAGCAGACACACAAGAGACGAUGGUGUGGUGGACAAGAGGAUGCAGGGAGACAGCAGACAGAAUGGAAGCUACAGAUGAAAGAAGAGCAGGUCAAGCCAUGGCAGCAGACACAUAGACAGACAGAUUGGAUAAGAAAGAAGUAUUAUUUAGUGAGACAGGACCACUGGAAGCUGUCAGAGUGCUGUGGCACGUGGCAAGAACCAAGUGUUCAGGAGCACACACUGUCCCUUCACCAGUCAGCAGGUCUGGGCGGCUUGGAAGUCUCACUACAAACUGAAGACCCGUUCACUUGAAGGACACAGUUGGAGUCGGACACAAGAUCCAAGAGGGAGGAGUCAUUUUUAAACGAGACCUUCAGGCAGAAAAUUCGAGUGGAUUUUCAACUCUAAAAAUAACUUAAUUUUUUUGGGUAUUUUGAACCUUCUUUAUCUUGAAAAAUAACUCCAGAUAUUAUGACUCUAGCUGGAAGUUGACCUGAGCAAUGUAGGGUUUGCUGCAGUGAGAUUACCAAGGCACGAGUGUCUGGGAUUUAAAGAUGAUGGAUAUGUGUCCUGUGUGCUGCUGUGCUGGGAGGAGAGGAGCAGCAGCAGUCGUGGGGCUCUGCUGCUGCUGUCACUGGUGCAGCUGUUCACUCCUGCAGCCACCUUCCCUCAACAUACUGUGUCUUUCCUCACCUGCAAUGAACAACUAUGAACAAUACUUCUCCUCCGAUGAGGAACAGUGAAUAACCUCUCUCUCUCUCUCUCUCUCUCUCUCUCUCUCUCUCUCUCUCUCUCUCUCUCUCUCUCUCUCUCUCUCUCUCUCUCUCUCUCUCUCUCUCUCUCUCUCUCUCUCUCUCUCUCUCUCUCUCUCUCUCUCUCUCUCCUCUCUCUCUCUCUCUCUCUCUCUCCACAGUAUGUCCCCCACAGUAUGUUUACAAACCCACAGUGACUCUCCACAGCCCCUCACCAACAAUUGUCUCCUUCACACACACACACACACACACAAAUGUUGGAAUCUUGUAGUGUCUACAACAAGGAAUGGAACCAAAAUCGACAA